UGAGAGGUUGAACGGCCACAUUGGGACUGAGACACGGCCCAGACUCCUACGGGAGGCAGCAG
This 62-nucleotide ribosomal RNA is filed under the name uncultured bacterium. Its description in RNAcentral is "partial 16S ribosomal RNA". It matches the Rfam family "Bacterial small subunit ribosomal RNA", at positions 293 to 354 of the family's 1533-position model. The record is from RNAcentral.